ACCCCCCACACCCUCCCCCCCGGGACCACGUGACGGAGAAGUUGAGGAUAAUGACGUCGUCGUCGGCGGCGAGGAACCAGCACCUGGAUGAGCUCCGCGCUCUCAUGGCGUCGCACUCGCCGCCGAUCCACGCGCUCCUCAUCCCCUCCGAGGAUGCUCACCAGGUUGUUGCUCCUGCCGCCCGCGCCUAUCGGAACCGAUCAGGGUAGAUCAGAUCCUGUCGGGCUCGACUGCGCCGAGUUUAGGAGCGAGUACGUGUCGGAGCGGGACAAGCGGCGGCAAUUCAUCUCCGGGUUCACUGGGAGCGCUGGGUUGGCCCUUAUCACUACAAAGGAGGCGUUAUUAUGGACGGAUGGACGAUACUUCUUGCAGGCCACAAAUCAACUUAGCGAUCGGUGGAGACUCAUGCGCAUGGGAGAAGACCCACCAGUCGAAGUCUGGAUAGCUGAUAAUCUCUCGGAUGAAGCGGUUAUUGGAAUUGAUUCAUGGUGCAUCUCUGUGGAUUCUGCUCAGAGAUAUGAGCAAGCAUUUUUAAAGAAGAAUCAGACGUUGUUUCAGCUUUCCUCUGACCUCGUCGAUGAAGUUUGGAAAGAUCGUCCUCCGAAUGAUGCUACACCUGUAAUUGUGCACCCUGUAGAAUUUGCUGGGCGUAGUGUAGCACAAAAGAUGAAGGAGUUAAGAGAAAAGUUACAACAUGAAAAGGCUAGUGGCAUUAUAAUUACUGCCCUUGAUGAGGUUGCUUGGUUGUACAAUGUUCGGGGAAAUGAUGUGCAUUACAGCCCAGUGGUUCAUUCUUAUGCUAUUGUAACCCUGCAUGGUGCCUUCUUUUAUGUGGAUAAGAGAAAAGUAACAACUGAGGUUAAAAAUUACAUGUCUGAAAGUGGUAUUGAUAUCAGAGAGUAUGAUAUGGUUCAGCUGGAUGUGAGCUUGCUUGCAUCUGGACAGCUAAAAGGCUCUGCAGUUAAUGGUAGCUUGCACAUGGAAAAGGAUAUCAACGCGGCGGAACAUUCCAAAAUCUGGAUUGAUUCAAAUUCGUGUUGCCUUGCACUCUACUCAAAGCUUAGACCAGAUCAAGCUUUGAUGCUGCAAUCGCCCAUUGCUCUACCAAAGGCUGUCAAGAAUCCCAUGGAGCUGACUGGUUUGAGGAAGGCACACAUUCGAGAUGGCGCAGCUGUUGUGCAAUACCUGGCUUGGCUGGAUAAUCAGAUGCAAGAGAACUAUGGGGCCUCUGGUUACUUCAGUGAGGCCAAUGGGUCACAGAAAAAAGAGCAUUUGCACAUCCCUUGUAGUUCCAAGUUUCAACUAUCAGACGGAAUUUUCUAUUUGCAUCUUAUUUUUCAGGAAAUAAAACUUACUGAGGUUUCUGUCAGUGAUAAACUCGAAGCCUUCCGCGCAGAGAAAGAGCAUUUUAAAGGUUUAAGUUUUCCUACGAUAUCAUCUGUGGGGCCAAAUGCAGCAAUAAUUCACUAUUCUCCUGAGGCAAAUACAUGUGCGGAACUUGAUGCUGAUAAAAUAUAUCUCUGUGACUCUGGGGCACAGUACCUGGAUGGCACUACAGACAUUACAAGAACUGUACAUUUUGGUAAACCCUCAGAGCAUCAGAAAUUGUGCUACACUGCUGUCUUGAAAGGCCACAUUGCCCUAGAUGCUGCUGUGUUCCCUAAUGGGACCACAGGUCAUGCUCUUGACAUACUGGCAAGAACCCCACUGUGGAAAAGUGGUCUUGACUAUCGGCAUGGCACAGGCCAUGGAAUCGGAUCUUAUUUGAAUGUCCAUGAAGGCCCUCAUCUAAUUAGCUUCAGACCUUCUGCUCGCAAUGUACCACUGCAAGCAUCAAUGACUGUAACAGAUGGGAAUGUAAGUUGCAUAAUCUCUUGUUGCAGAGCCUGGUUACUACGAAGAUGGAAACUUUGGUAUAAGGUUGGAGAAUGUUCUUAUAGUCAAAGAGGCUGAUACUAAAUUUAAUUUUGGGGAGAAGGGUUAUUUGUCAUUUGAACAUAUAACAUGGGCUCCAUACCAGACUAAACUUAUAAACACUGCCUUGUUGACCCCUGCGGAGAUCGAAUGGGUAAACUUGUACCACUCCGAGUGCCAGAAAAUCUUGGAGUCUUACCUAAAUGUUCAGGAGAAGGAAUGGCUGAGGAAGGCCACCGAACCUAUAACUGCGAGCAGUUAAGCCAGCCACUUCAUGGUUACUGCUGUUGUGCGCCAAACGUAGAUAGAUGGCUACCCGAAUAUUUAAUCAACUUUAAUAAGUGUGAAUAGCACCAAGUGAGCACCCGUAUUCUUUAUGUAUUUCGUGUCGCCUAGCUUGAGGCCGGAAAUAAGAAUACAGAGAUACUGAAUGAAUACUGAAUUGUUACUUUGCUUGAAGACGAGUUGACUGGUUCUUGUUA
Molecule: RNA transcript, 2396 nt
Organism: Triticum aestivum (bread wheat)
Lineage: Eukaryota; Viridiplantae; Streptophyta; Magnoliopsida; Poales; Poaceae
Gene name: aminopeptidase P1
Exons: 17
Source: RefSeq, a predicted model, not a curated record